Molecule: non-coding RNA, 80 nt
Organism: Paramuricea clavata
Lineage: Eukaryota; Metazoa; Cnidaria; Anthozoa; Malacalcyonacea; Plexauridae
Source: the annotation of a GenBank genome assembly
AUUUCCAGCCGGCUUCCGGGAAUAGGCGGAGCUCCCCGAAUUCGGGGAGCUCUGCCUAUUGCCCGAAGCAGGCUGGAAAU